GAUUGAACGCUGGCGGCAUGCCUUACACAUGCAAGUCGAACGGCAGCACGGGUGCUUGCACCUGGUGGCGAGUGGCGAACGGGUGAGUAAUACAUCGGAACAUGUCCUGUAGUGGGGGAUAGCCCGGCGAAAGCCGGAUUAAUACCGCAUACGAUCUACGGAUGAAAGCGGGGGACCUUCGGGCCUCGCGCUAUAGGGUUGGCCGAUGGCUGAUUAGCUAGUUGGUGGGGUAAAGGCCUACCAAGGCGACGAUCAGUAGCUGGUCUGAGAGGACGACCAGCCACACUGGGACUGAGACACGGCCCAGACUCCUACGGGAGGCAGCAGUGGGGAAUUUUGGACAAUGGGCGAAAGCCUGAUCCAGCAAUGCCGCGUGUGUGAAGAAGGCCUUCGGGUUGUAAAGCACUUUUGUCCGGAAAGAAAUCCUUGGCUCUAAUACAGUCGGGGGAUGACGGUACCGGAAGAAUAAGCACCGGCUAACUACGUGCCAGCAGCCGCGGUAAUACGUAGGGUGCGAGCGUUAAUCGGAAUUACUGGGCGUAAAGCGUGCGCAGGCGGUUUGCUAAGACCGAUGUGAAAUCCCCGGGCUCAACCUGGGAACUGCAUUGGUGACUGGCAGGCUAGAGUAUGGCAGAGGGGGGUAGAAUUCCACGUGUAGCAGUGAAAUGCGUAGAGAUGUGGAGGAAUACCGAUGGCGAAGGCAGCCCCCUGGGCCAAUACUGACGCUCAUGCACGAAAGCGUGGGGAGCAAACAGGAUUAGAUACCCUGGUAGUCCACGCCCUAAACGAUGUCAACUAGUUGUUGGGGAUUCAUUUCCUUAGUAACGUAGCUAACGCGUGAAGUUGACCGCCUGGGGAGUACGGUCGCAAGAUUAAAACUCAAAGGAAUUGACGGGGACCCGCACAAGCGGUGGAUGAUGUGGAUUAAUUCGAUGCAACGCGAAAAACCUUACCUACCCUUGACAUGGUCGGAAUCCCGCUGAGAGGUGGGAGUGCUCGAAAGAGAACCGGCGCACAGGUGCUGCAUGGCUGUCGUCAGCUCGUGUCGCGAGAUGUUGGGUUAAGUCCCGCAACGAGCGCAACCCUUGUCCUUAGUUGCUACGCAAGAGCACUCUAAGGAGACUGCCGGUGACAAACCGGAGGAAGGUGGGGAUGACGUCAAGUCCUCAUGGCCCUUAUGGGUAGGGCUUCACACGUCAUACAAUGGUCGGAACAGAGGGUUGCCAACCCGCGAGGGGGAGCUAAUCCCAGAAAACCGAUCGUAGUCCGGAUUGCACUCUGCAACUCGAGUGCAUGAAGCUGGAAUCGCUAGUAAUCGCGGAUCAGCAUGCCGCGGUGAAUACGUUCCCGGGUCUUGUACACACCGC
RNAcentral lists this ribosomal RNA (1367 nucleotides) under uncultured beta proteobacterium. Its description in RNAcentral is "bacterial SSU rRNA". It matches the Rfam family "Bacterial small subunit ribosomal RNA", at positions 27 to 1393 of the family's 1533-position model. The record is from RNAcentral. Lineage: Bacteria; Pseudomonadati; Pseudomonadota; Betaproteobacteria.